This is a long non-coding RNA of Alosa alosa (allis shad), 337 nucleotides long. RefSeq lists it as uncharacterized. The transcript has 3 exons. NCBI's taxonomy places the organism in Eukaryota, Metazoa, Chordata, Actinopteri, Clupeiformes, Clupeidae. The record is from RefSeq and is a predicted model, not a curated record.
GAGGAAAGAAGCUCUUCCCCAUUCUGGAGGUGCGGGCAGUUAUACUGCGGUACCUUCUACCUGAUGGCAUUAAGGAGAAGAGUGCAUGGGACAGGGUAUUCUGGCGAGUUGGUGGCGUGCGGCGUGUCGUUGAGAGGAAAUGGGAGCCGGAAGGGAAGAGCACCGACAGGAAGGAAGAAAGAGAAAGGGAGUGACUCGGCAGUGUGUGUCUUCGGAGCGCUUAUUCGUCCCGCUGUGAGUUGUUACCAGGCCCAACACUUGUCCGGGGCUCUUGUCAGCACUGGAAUGACUUCAGAAGCUAUUGGAGAGCUCAGUCUACAAGGCAGAUAUUUUCUCU